ACCUUACCAAAAACACACUAGAUUCUUUAUACUCAGUGUUCUUCAGCUGCAUCACAAACACUCUGCGUGCUUGCCAUCAUCCAUCCAUUGCUCCUGUGGAACAAGGUGAGCUAACACAAAUGCAUCGAUGUUAAUUCUGUGUAUUGUGCCAGGAGUGAUGAAGUCCCUUGCCUCUGACCCACAAGUCUUAGGUUUUUUGUCAGCAUCCAUGAAACUGUGACAGGCUAACUUAAUGGUUUGUAAGUAGGGAACAAUUCCAUUCAACAAGAAGAAUGGAAUACUUACAGAGACAUGGUUUUCUGGAAGAAGGAUGGUGGACCAGGUUUGAGAAUAUAAGAUAUCCUGGCAUCUACCUGGUAAUGAAUGCUGUCAUCCAAGUGAUAGACAAGGAGUAGGAGAGUAGAGAUUUCCACUGUCCUACCUGUUACUCUACAGGAGUUGAACUAAUGUUUAGAGGCUUAGAGAUAAGAGGUAGAAUACUACCUGCUGUCCAAAUGGUGCCUUGGUUGUUGCAGACAGGCUGAGAAAGGAAUAUUUUCAUUUAGGGUCAACAAAUCCUGUGAUCCUGUCAGAAAGCUGUGUGACUGAAAUUGCUAGAUCAAGGAAUCCCCAAAACAAAUAUCAGCAGUAUGACCCUUGCUUUUGAUUGAGAGCUUUCAGUGCACCAAAAAAUAUUAGAAGUUCAUAAGGUUGAACUACAAGCUGUCCCUGAUCAUAUACAAAAGAGAAUGCAGGGCCUCCCUGGUGGCGCAGGCUGUGAAGCUGUCCGCAGCCUCUGCAGUGCCAGUUCGAUCCCCGUCAGCCUUGGAGAAACCCACAUGGCAAGCGGACCUCUCCUGUCUCGCCCACUGCUCCCCUCAGCAGUGUAUUUCGUCUGUCUGCCUGUUCUGGUCCCCACUCUGUCUCUGGUGAAUCCUCUCACCCGCGCUUCUGGCCUGUGCCCCGCCUCUUGUAUAAAUAAAAUAAAUCUUAAAAAAAAAAAGAGAGAGAAUGCAAAGUCUUGCCUAAAAAUACAGAGCAGGUCAUUGUUAUAACCCUAAUUCCAGACUUAGCCAGCAAUGAGGACAAAAUGCUGGGUGUAGGAGUGACAGAAGACCCUAAAGACCACAGGGCAAAACAUGGCCAUGUGCUGGGAUUAAAAAGAAACUCCUGGGACCUGGUUUCCUGGAUCCUAACACCCUGGGAGAGAUAGCUAUGCUAGUACUCAGAAAUUGACUCUGGCUAAAGAAAAACGGCCAGCAAUUAAGUUUUGUCUUCAUGGUCUAGCCUCCUCUACCUCAUGGAGUCCACCCCUGGGUUGGCUGAUAAGGUGAUCUGGUAUCCAUUGUCAUCUGCUGUAUAGCUCCUAACUUCAAUAUAUUUUAGAUUCCUCAUUUGAGAACAAGGCAUUCAGUAGCAGAAAAGGGGAGUGUUGUCUGCGGGUGGCCCAUAGUGUGUAAUGUAGCUUUCAAGUCUGAAUAUCUACUGUAAUUGAUAGGUUAUAUGCCUCUACAUCCAUGUCUCAUAAUCUGUCAGUAGGAGUUCUCUAUUCAGGGAUGCCUUAUGCAGAGAAAUGAUGGUGAGGAUAUAAAUUUGUCCCCAACCUGCCUUCCUAUCCCCUUUCCAGUGGUCCAACAGAAACAAUAGAGGAACCCCAGAGGAAGAAAGUGAAAUCACUCCUUAAAGACUUAAUGGUAGCAGAGUACUCGAGCCGUUUUCCUGCUCGACUUUGCCACCUACCUCACACAAACCCCAAGUACGUCCAUUUUGGAGAAAGCCAACUAUUAACCUAUUACUAUUGCAAGUGAAUGCCUGACUCGUGGAGGCCUUCUGACUCACAGGACACCAGGCAUGGACCCGCUUUGUGCCAUUGUUCAUUCUGCAGGCAUGACAUAUUCUUCCUACUGGGAGAAGAACCAGAGACUGGCUGACCAACACUUAAUUCAAAACAGCCUCAACUGUUCACCAUGUUCCUGAGUUUGUGCACUAUUAAAGCAAGUCUUUUGUACUCCUGAAGCUGGGGAACUAAGCUUGUGAGCCUUCUUGUGCUUUGUCCAAGUCCAGAAGGCUUUGUGCCUGUAGUCAAUGAUGUGGACAAGGUAAAGACUAAAAUUCUGCAUCUGUAUAAUAACUUUCUUAAGAUGAAUGCCAACCAAUUUAGACAACAUACUCCUUCCUGGACACAGCUUAUGGAUUCUUCUCUUAAAAUUUUUGUUUUGAAAAAAAUCAAAUAUUUGGGAAUAAAUCUAACAAAAGAGAUAAAA
Long non-coding RNA from Talpa occidentalis (Iberian mole), 2243 nucleotides. RefSeq lists it as uncharacterized. The record is from RefSeq and is a predicted model, not a curated record. Lineage: Eukaryota; Metazoa; Chordata; Mammalia; Eulipotyphla; Talpidae. The transcript has 5 exons.